Molecule: microRNA precursor, 95 nt
Filed under: Nicotiana sylvestris (wood tobacco)
Lineage: Eukaryota; Viridiplantae; Streptophyta; Magnoliopsida; Solanales; Solanaceae
Description: MIR6152 microRNA precursor family
Rfam family: MIR6152 microRNA precursor family
Source: Rfam by way of RNAcentral
UGGACAAAUUAUUGUAUUCGACUGUAUCACGGCGUGAAACAUGGGAUUACACUGUUUUUAAAAUAAAAGUGAAUCAAUUAAUAUAAUAGACUCCU